AAACAUAUUUAAUAGAAUUAAUUAUUAAUAAUACCUGCUCAAUGAUAUUAAAUAGCCGCAGCUCAUACUGUGCUAAGGUAGCAUAAUCAUUUGUCUUUUAAUUGAAGACUAGAAUGAAAGGUUUAACAUUUAAAGCUUUUUAUAAAUUUUCAAUUAUAAAUUUAUUUUAAAUGUAAAAAAACAUUUAUAAAUUAGAUAGACGACAAGACCCUAUUGAACUUUACUGUAGUUUAACUGGGGCAGUUAAUUAAUUAAUAUUUUAACAUUUUAUUUUUUUUUUUAAAAAAAAAUGACCCAAUUCAAUUGAUUAAAUGAUCAAGCUACCAUAGGGAUAACAGCGUUAUAUUUUUCUAUAGUUCUUAUAUAAAAAAAUGAUUGCGACCUCGAUGUUGAAUUAAUUUUUCUAGUAUGUGCAUCCACAUAAAUAGAAAGUCUGUUCGACUUUUAAAUAAUUACA
This 457-nucleotide ribosomal RNA is filed under the name Olios sp. 2 YT-2018. Its description in RNAcentral is "partial 16S ribosomal RNA". It matches the Rfam family "Bacterial large subunit ribosomal RNA", at positions 1811 to 2600 of the family's 2925-position model. Lineage: Eukaryota; Metazoa; Arthropoda; Arachnida; Araneae; Sparassidae. The record is from RNAcentral.